RNAcentral lists this unclassified non-coding RNA (200 nucleotides) under soil metagenome. RNAcentral's name for it is "partial contains internal transcribed spacer 2 and large subunit ribosomal RNA". The record is from RNAcentral.
CGAGCGUCAUUUAAACCAAUCCAGCCUCGUGCUUGGGUCUUGGGCCUUUCGCCUCUGGGCGGGCCUCAAAAUCAGUGGCGGCGCUCCUGGCUCUACGCGUAGUAAUACUCCUCGCUAUAGAUGUCUGGUGGUGUCCUGCCAAAACCCCCCCAUUUUUUAAGGUUGACCUCGGAUCAGGUAGGGAUACCCGCUGAACUUAA